GGGUCAGUAGGUUGGUCGUGCCACCGGUACGUACUGGUCUCACUGAUUCCUCCUUCCCGAAGAACCGUAAUGCCAUUAAUUUGGUGUUGCGGGGAGACAGGACUGUUACUUUGAAAAAAUUAGAGUGUUUAAAGCAAGCUAACGCUUGAAUACAUUAGCAUGGAAUAAUGAAAUAGGACGAUCGAUCCUAUUUUGUUGGUUUCUAGGAUUGACGUA
Molecule: ribosomal RNA, 216 nt
Filed under: Glomeromycotina sp.
Lineage: Eukaryota; Fungi; Glomeromycota
Description: partial small subunit ribosomal RNA
Rfam family: Eukaryotic small subunit ribosomal RNA (bases 75-216)
Source: RNAcentral